This 145-nucleotide unclassified non-coding RNA is filed under the name Flavobacterium xinjiangense. RNAcentral describes it as "Flavo-1 RNA". The record is from RNAcentral. Lineage: Bacteria; Pseudomonadati; Bacteroidota; Flavobacteriia; Flavobacteriales; Flavobacteriaceae.
UUCUGCUAGGGAUAGUAAUGGAAAGCCCGUAAAGUUGAAAGCCAAAUAAAACAAAGAUUAGUGAAGCGACCGUUAGGAAGCUUUGACUAAGACUAUGUUUUAUAGGAUUGCAACUGCGGACUUGAAAUGGAUAGCCCGCCCGAGC